UUCUUGUAGUCUUGUCUCUGUAUUCUGUAAGGCAUACGCGCAUAAUGGCCAUAGCCUAUUAUGUGCUAUUGUGUUUUCUAUAAGUGCUUUUGUCUUUUUAGUUUUUUCCGUUGUUUUUUUUUUCGGGAUUCAUCUUAAACAGUUCUAAGACAUUUUAGUCGAUCAAUCCGUAAUCAAUACCUUUAUAGUAUAUACGUAUUAUAGUAGGUAAAUAAAACGCGGCGCCGACCUCUGAAUUCCGAAUCUUCCGUUGGAAUACUUGAAAAUACGCUGGAAAAAUAUUGUUUAAUUUUAGUUUAAAAAUGCUCAAAAUAUUGAAUUUUGAUUUUUGAACGAUUGACGCGAAGUUCGUAAUGUUUGAAUUGCAUAUUCGCAUAGUGUGUAAGUGCAAUCCUCUAAUAGUUAAAGGUCAGGAUGAUACAUGGAAAUAAGAAAGCGGAAUCUGCAGCUUACGAGAUACACUUUCCAUAAAAAUAAUACAGUAUUCGGACUAUUGAUUCCCGACGGUUUUGUCAAUAUUGGCCUUUUUACUACUUAGCAUUAUUAAAAAAGGAUGAUCUUAUUAUAUAAUAUGAUAUUUUUUCACAUAAUAAUGAUGUAGAUGAUAUUUUCACAUCGAUGUAACAUGUUAAUACAAGUUAAUUAACAGUAAGCAAAUGAUGUAUGAUGUGCCGUCUUCAAAAAAGAGCCCAUUUAUGUGGAACGUGCACAAUGCCACAAUGCAACUAAAUUAGGAUUUAGUAAGACUGUUAGACUAAUAAUAUAUCAGAAAUUCAGUAGGUUGGAACAAUAAAUUCUAACAUUUAAUUAGAUUUAGACAUUCACAUAUGACAUAUAUGUAUAUAUAUUGAAGCUUUGCAGAUGAACUCCAUAACCUCAAUGGAUAUUUUAAAAUUAAACUGGUAGGUAGGUACUAGGUAUUCAAAUAAAUUGUAAAAAUAAAACAAAUGAAGAAAGGCUUAAACAUAAGUAGGUAUGUAACAUGUGUAAAACUUCUCAAUACAAAACAGAACUGAAAAUAUUAGUUAUUAAAAAAAACGUAUUGUAUGUAAUUAAACAUGAAUUUUGAAUAUUUUAUUUUUAUUUUUUAUUACCUAUUAUAUUUUAUGUUAUUAUGUUAUUAAUAAAUAUAUGUAUAUUAAUUAAUA
Long non-coding RNA from Aphis gossypii (cotton aphid), 1148 nucleotides. RefSeq lists it as uncharacterized. The record is from RefSeq and is a predicted model, not a curated record. The transcript is spliced from 3 exons. NCBI's taxonomy places the organism in Eukaryota, Metazoa, Arthropoda, Insecta, Hemiptera, Aphididae.